CUGGGGUCACCUCAAGGAGCAGGAGCUGGGUUUCUUCCGGGCCCCCAAGACGCAAGGACAGUCAUCCUGUAAGAUGUGAACACACGGCACAAACCUGGCUUUGAGGUGGUGGCCCCCUCCGACCGCCGCUGCUCCAACUUCUUCUGAACAGACGCUACUAGCCACGCCUCUGAUCCGUGGAAAUUUUGGAAGGAAACGCAGGCUGGGAAGGAAAAGGGAAUUCAGGCAGAGCAGCACGUGUUUUCUGAAAAGCCGUGUGGGUGUGGCCAGCCGCAGGCUGGACGCUCCCCGAGGGGCCCCAGGAAGACAGACAGACAGACGGCUGGACAGAAACACGUCCCAGGUUGAAGUCUACUCCCCAGUGCGAUGCGGUGAGGAGGUGGGGUCUCCGGGAGCCCCCACAAAAGAGACGCCAGAGAGCUCCCUCACCCCUUCCUCCAUGCGCGGGCUCGGCGAGGACACAGCUGCCUCCAGAAACCAGGAGCGCGUCCUCAGCUGACACAGAAUCUGUCCGCACCUUGACCUUGGACUUCCAGCCCUCAAAACUGUGAGAGACUGAAGUCUGUUGUUUAUCAGCCCCCCAGGCAGUGGAAUACUGUCAUAACAGCCCAAAUAAACUAAGACAGAG
This 628-nucleotide long non-coding RNA is filed under the name Mustela putorius furo (domestic ferret). Its description in RNAcentral is "lncRNA (ENSMPUG00000028574.1)". The record is from RNAcentral. Lineage: Eukaryota; Metazoa; Chordata; Mammalia; Carnivora; Mustelidae.